AGAGUUUGAUCCUGGCUCAGGAUGAACGCUAGCGGCAGGCCUAACACAUGCAAGUCGAGGGGCAGCAUUAAAAUAACUUGUUAUUUUAGAUGGCGACCGGCGGACGGGUGCGUAACGCGUAUGCAACCUACCUAUAACAGGGGGAUAACCGAGAGAAAUUUUGACUAAUACCCCGUAAUACUAGAUGAGGCAUCUUAUUUAGUUGAAAGAUUUAUUGGUUAUAGAUGGGCAUGCGUGACAUUAGCUAGAUGGUGCGGUAACGGCGUACCAUGGCAACGAUGUCUAGGGGAACUGAGAGGUUAAUCCCCCACACUGGUACUGAGACACGGACCAGACUCCUACGGGAGGCAGCAGUGAGGAAUAUUGGUCAAUGGAAGGAAUUCUGAACCAGCCAUGCCGCGUGCAGGACGACGGCUCUAUGAGUUGUAAACUGCUUUUAUAAGAGGAUAAAAAAGAGUACGAGUACUCUAUUGCAGGUAUCUUAUGAAUAAGGAUCGGCUAACUCCGUGCCAGCAGCCGCGGUAAUACGGAGGAUUCGAGCGUUAUCCGGAUUUAUUGGGUUUAAAGGGUGCGUAGGUGUAGAUUAAGUUAGUGGUGAAAUUUAGCGGCUCAACCGUAUUUAUGCCAUUAAUACUGAUAUACUAGAGUAUGGAUGCAGCAGGCGGAAUGUGUAGUGUAGCGGUGAAAUGCAUAGAUAUUACACAGAACACCGAUUGCGAAGGCAGCUUGCUAAUCCAAAACUGACACUGAUGCACGAAAGCGUGGGUAGCGAACGGGAUUAGAUACCCCGGUAGUCCACGCAGUAAACGAUGAUAACUCGUUGUCGGCGAUAUACAGUCGGUGACCAAGCGAAAGCGAUAAGUUAUCCACCUGGGGAGUACGACCGCAAGGUUGAAACUCAAAGGAAUUGACGGGGGCCCGCACAAGCGGAGGAACAUGUGGUUUAAUUCGAUGAUACGCGAGGAACCUUACCCGGGCUUGAAAGUUAGUGACGGAGUCAGAGACGGCUCUUUCCUUCGGGACACGAAACUAGGUGCUGCAUGGUUGUCGUCAGCUCGUGCCGUGAGGUGUCGGGUUAAGUCCCAUAACGAGCGCAACCCCUAUCGAUAGUUACCAGCGAGUUAAGUCGGGGACUCUAUUGAGACUGCCUGUGUAAGCAGUGAGGAAGGUGGGGAUGACGUCAAAUCAGCACGGCCCUUACGUCCGGGGCGACACACGUGUUACAAUGGCCGGUACAGAGGGCAGCUACCUAGCGAUAGGAUGCAAAUCUCAAAAGCCGGUCUCAGUUCGGAUUGGAGGCUGGAACUCGCCUCCAUGAAGUUGGAUUCGCUAGUAAUCGCAUAUCAGCCAUGAUGCGGUGAAUACGUUCCCGGGCCUUGUACACACCGCCCGUCAAGCCAUGGAAGUUGGGGGUGCCUGAAGUCCGUUACCGCGAGGGACGGCCUAGGGCAAACUUGGUAACUAGGGCUAAGUCGUAACAAGGUAACCGUAA
This 1492-nucleotide ribosomal RNA is filed under the name uncultured bacterium. Its description in RNAcentral is "bacterial SSU rRNA". It matches the Rfam family "Bacterial small subunit ribosomal RNA". The record is from RNAcentral.